This 437-nucleotide ribosomal RNA is filed under the name uncultured bacterium. RNAcentral's name for it is "bacterial SSU rRNA". It matches the Rfam family "Bacterial small subunit ribosomal RNA", at positions 28 to 478 of the family's 1533-position model. The record is from RNAcentral.
GACGAACGCUGGCGGCGCGCCUAACACAUGCAAGUCGAACGGAGCAUUGAGAGCUUGCUUUUAAUGCUUAGUGGCGAACGGGUGAGUAACGCGUGAGUAACCUGCCCUGGAGUGGGGGACAACAGUUGGAAACGACUGCUAAUACCGCAUAAGCCCACGGCCCGGCAUCGGGCUGAGGGAAAAGGAUUUAUUCGCUUCAGGAUGGACUCGCGUCCAAUUAGCUAGUUGGUGAGGUAACGGCCCACCAAGGCGACGAUUGGUAGCCGGACUGAGAGGUUGAACGGCCACAUUGGGACUGAGACACGGCCCAGACUCCUACGGGAGGCAGCAGUGGGGGAUAUUGCACAAUGGGGGAAACCCUGAUGCAGCGACGCCGCGUGGAGGAAGAAGGUUUUCGGAUUGUAAACUCCUGUCGUUAGGGACGAUAAUGACGGUAC